This is a non-coding RNA of Picea glauca (white spruce), 46 nucleotides long. The record is from Rfam. Lineage: Eukaryota; Viridiplantae; Streptophyta; Pinopsida; Pinales; Pinaceae.
GUAAUGGUGUCUUUAGACACCAUCCUUUGUCUUCAAAAAAAUUUGU